CAGGCCGGCGUGCCGUGGGACUAGGGAGGGGCGACCAGGGAGUGGGCGGGGCCGCAGGCUCCGAGAGAGACGUCCGGGCGCACGGGAUUGGGCGGGAUGCCGCGAGGGGCACUGGGCGUGGCGCCGCAGGGCUGCCGAAGUAUCGCGAGCUCGAGGCCCUGUCUUCUCGUCCCCACCUUUUGGUUAACAUUCGGUUCUGAAAAUCUGGCGGGGUAGGGUCUGCAGUGUUUCUGUUGGCUCCCCUGGACUCUCUCGUCUUGUCUCGUCGUCCUUCGUUCGGCCCUGAAACACCGAACUCGUGACGAGUGCCGAAACAAGAAGACACAACAAAAAUUUCUCCAAUUAUGAACGACAAACCAGGAAAUGAAAGAAACAUAAAGAAUUAUUUAUGUGAAUGAAAGGAGUUAUUACCUCACUAGGUAUGAAGUAAUUUUCUAGAAUUUGUGCCGUGAAGUCUUGGGAUGUUCGGUAUCUCACUAGUUUGAAGAAGAGUUUAAGUAUGUUCAGGGAACAAUGUCCAUAACAAAGCGCGAAAAAUAAUUUUGAAAAUGGACUGGCAAUUUCUUGAACAUUACAUUUGAAGAAACAAAGUCACAGUUCUUUAGUACCACUGGAGAAAAGGGCAUUUUCGUCUAAUCUUCAACAUCAUCAGUAUAGCCGUCCAAAAUGUUAGCAGACAUACAGCACUAAAAACACUUUCUAAAAAAAACUCCACAGCUCUGUUUUUAUAUUUGCCUAUAGCAUCAAAAGUUUACGAAUUUUUGCAUAAUUGAAUUAUGAUUUUCGUACAGCCAUGUUUUAUAGUUUUCGCUUGCCACACUAAAUAUUUCACGUUUUUACAAUCUUAAUUUAUAAAUGUAGCAUAUUACCCUUGGUUUGUACAUACGCUCAACAUCAGAUCUUCAGAAUUGAAACUGAUAUCACUAAGAAGGAAAUGUGAAAGAAAAAUAUAAGUGAAACGUGAUGUAUAUACAUUUUAAAACUAUCCACUUACAGUGGAACACACCUGUAAUCUGAGCAAUCAGGGAAAACACAAAAUAAAAACAAAAAGCAGUGGGUAUAUGGGAGCAUACCUGUAACCUCAGCACUCUAGGAGACUCAAGUAGAAAGAUCACAAAUUUCAGCCCAACCUGGACAAUUUAGUAACUUAGGAACACCUUGUGAAACCGUGUAGUAGAGCUAACAGAUUAAUUCCAGGCUCUUGUAUAUGUGGAGCAAUGAAUUCAAAGUGUACAUGCAAUGGUUUUAAAAAAGCAACUACAUUUAUAGAAAAUAAUGGGAAGAUAUGAUAAGGCACACACUAACAGAAAAGUGCUGUUAGGGAGACAGGGUAAUAAAAAGUACAGCGCACAGGUAAAUCGAGCUUGGAAUUUAUAGGAUGUGCACCCCAAACCGAAUGAAAUGUAGUUUAUUAUGAAGGCCCUGGGUUCAAUCUUUAGUGCCUAAAUAAAUAAAAAGCCAAGAGAACAACUUUUUUGUUGUUUCUUGAAGCAGGGACAUUCUAUGUAUUUCAAGGCUGGCCAUGAACUCACUAUAUAUAGCCAGGCUGGCUAUAAACUCCUAUGUAACCCAGGCUGACUUUAAAAUCUCAAUGAUCCUCCUGUCUCACCCUCCAAGUAUUGGGAUUACAGACAUACACCGCCAGACAUGAAGACAACUUUAUUAGCUCCAGUUAUAGGUUACUGUUCUACACUCCUAGAAUAUAGCCAGCAAUCAUUGUCCUGACAAAGACCUAAUUUACACUGACCUCUCUUUCUCAUCUAAUUCAACAAAAUGUUAUAAAAAAUUUGUCAGUUAACUUUAAAGUGACAUGCAUAUCCUCCAUGGGAUCCCUAAGGCCUAGAUGGACAUGGUUUUAAGGCUACCUUGUUUCUCAGUUUUCAGCUUCUCCUACAAUAUUCCUUCCUGAAAUCCAUCCACUGGUGACAGGUAUGCCGCUAAAGUGUCUUAAUGGUUUAUUUCCCUACUGUUUCACAAUACUUUAAUUUUUCCAGUUUACCAAAAGGAAAAGCAUACCUUUCUGGUAUUGAGAAUGUUUAAGUGAUGCAUUACUCAUGAAAGUAAAAACCCCAGGAAACUUUUGUAAGUUCCUUAUUAAUUUAAAAUAUGCUGCAGGAAGAAAGCAUAUAGUUCUAAUGAACAGGUAAUGAAUUCUCAAUGUCCAAAUAAUUCCUUUUCACAAAGUGUGUCCUAAAGAUCACUGAGUUUAUAAAUUAGAAGGAAUUAAAAGAAUUGAGUGACAUUGAUAAAGGCAAAAUUCCUUAUAGCUCUAUCUGCUUACUAAUGUGAUAAUCUUUUCAAAAUUUUCUCUGAAGUUUUUCAUUGAUAAUAAUGAAAAAUUGAGAAAAUAUAGAUGAUGAUCUGUCACAUUCUUGUUAGAAGCAGUAUUUAAUAUCAAUGUAUGCAUGAAUCUAUUAAAAUCAUAUUUAAUAAUUAUAAGUAUUUUAAUAUAUUUGUAUUAUCUGAACACUCAAUUAUUACUAAUAAAUACAAUGAUGUCUCAGCUUAGAAAAAAGUGUUCAACUACUUGCAUUCUUUCAGCCAUGGGAAAUUUUAAUAAAUUUUAAAAUUUCAAUUUGCGUUUUCACUGAAGAAAGAUAUAAUAGUGUGAUUCAUAAAAAAUUCAAACAUAAAAAUUAUAAAUCAAGAUAUACUCGAUAGGGUUUUCAGCAUGGGAAAAGAGAAAAAAUUAAACAGUAGCCUUUAUUCCAAGGAUGUGGAGAGGAGUCCAAGGACCAAAGAUGGCCUGGCCUCUUCUGAUCCGGACUUGGGGUGUGGGAUAUAUAUAUAUAAAACCUCUGAGUGGGGUUGCUCUUAGGGUGGGCAUUGGUGACACAGGAGCAGCUGAUUGGGACUUUCUUCACGCCACUGGUAAAGGAAAAAGAAAGUUGUCAUAGGGGAAGGAGGAAGUGACUUGGUUCUGCCUCCCACUGCCGUAAUAUCGUGUCUAGGGCAAAAUCCUUUCAACACUCCUGGAGGGGUAGGAAUAUGAAAUUAUGAGUAUGAAGAGAAGAAUAAAUUUUGUAAAAUAUUCUGAGUGGCCAAUAGCGACAAAUGGCGUCUGGCUCCCCGACUGGAUCCUGUGACAUGGGUACUGCCCAGGCUGUCCAUCAGCGGAGGUGAUAGCAACAUUAAAAACAAAACCAAAAUCACCUGUGCCCGACUUCCAACCCUCUGUGCCAGUUUUACCAUCAGUGGAGGACCCCCUGGAAGAUGUCCUCUUCCCUCCCCUAUAUUCCCCUCUUAGAAACCCUUCACCCAACACCUCCCCCCUCGCAGUCCAAUCUGGACCUGAAGCAGACCACGGCCAAAUUCACCUGACUCCACCAUGGCAGCGUCAGCACUCUGCCCCCUUUGGCAGGUUCCCGAUCCCCGGAAACCAAGAGACUUGAUUAUUGUCUAACAUCUGACAAAAAGCAGUAUGCCAUCCAGAUGAAGCCUGCUCUCUGAUCUGGAAUGCCAGAACCAUGUUUUCCUUUUGUCCCAUCCCAACUGAAUAACCAGAGAUGGACUCAGGAGCAUUGCCAAAGGAGUCCUAACCCAGGACAUUGGCCCUUGGAAGAGGCCUAUAGCCUACCUCUUCAAAAGACUUGAUCCAGUGACAAGAGGAUGGCCCCCUGCCUGAGAAUGCUAGCUGCUGUGGCAAUGUUACUGAAAGAGGCUAAGAAACUCACUUUUGGACAAAAGAUUUCUGUGGUGACCUCCCACAGUUUAGAGACUCUUAUCAAAACCCCUCCUGAAAAGUGGCUUUCAGUGCCAGAAUUCUGCACUAUCAAGCCCUGCUCCUAGACCCAAAGUCAGUGGUUUUCAAGGCCUCUUCAGCCUUGAAAACCCAGCCACCCUUAUGCCUGACAAUGACCCUGAAGUUCAGAGUGUGCCUCUCCAAGAGUGUGCUGAUCUCCUAGAAACGCAACAGAAUCUACGGGCUGACCUUACUGACCAGCCUUUGGGGAAUGCUGAUAACUACUUCACCGAUGGGAGCAGUUUCAUCCAGGAUGGCAAACGAGUCACCUGAGGGGCAGUGACUACUGAAAAAGAGGUAGUCUGGGUAAAGCAGUUAGAGCUUGGUACCUCAGCCCAAAAGGCUGAGCUCAUUGCUUUGACCAAAGCAUUAAAGUUAGCCACCAGGAAAAAAGUAAAUAUCUAUACUGACAGUAGAUAUGCUUUUGCUACUGUACAUGUGCAUGGAGCCAUCUGUCAAGAGUGGGGUCUCUUAACCUCAGCCAGGAGUAAGAUAAAAAAUGCUCCCCAAAUUUUAAACUUGUUGGCUGCCAUCUGGAUGCCAAGGAGAGUGGCUAUUAUCCGCUGUAUAGCCCAUUGGGCAGGAGAUGACCUUGUUAUACAAAAAAUAAUUUGGCAGACGCCUCCACCCAAAAGGCAGCCACAAAAUCAGUGAGGAUUGAGAUAGCUCUGACCUUACUGUUGAUCCCACCUACUUUGUCAGAGCCUAUUUGCACUUGAAAACACUUGCAUCCGACAGCUCAACUUCUGAGCGAUCCCUGGGGGUUAAUAUUGAAGCUAGCCCAGUCUGUGAGCCUCAGAUGCCCUCAGUGCCAAUUGGUGAACCCAAAACAACUGCAACAAAUAAAAACCACUCGCUACAUGAGACUAUGCCUAGAAAACAUUAAGCCUAGACUUCAAAAAAUAAUAAGUCUUUAUAAAUAAUGAUAGAUGGAUUAAAACUUUACCUACUGAGUCUGAGUCAGCCCUGAUAACAGUUUCCCUGAUUUGGCCUCCCUUUUAUCCAUGGGGUCCGACAAUGGCCCAGCUUUUAUAGCCCAGAUAACUCAAAAACUAACCUAAGCUUUGCAGAUCAAUUGGAAACUCCAUUGUGCUUACCAGCCUCAAAGUUCAGGACAAGUAAAAAAGAUUUUAAAGACAAUAAUUACUAAUGGCCUUAAAAACUGGCGAGAACUGGGUGAGUCUCCUUUCCUUUUGCUCUUUUAUUUCCCCUUUUGAGGCUUUAUAUGGGAGACCUCUUCCUCUUAUCCUUAAGAUUUCUAAAGAAAAAUUAGCUGAUUUGGCUAAACAAGAUCUUAUUAAGUCCCCCCUAGACUUUUCAGCCAGUUCGGACUUCCAUCCACCGGUUAUUUCGGUGGCUGCCCACUGUGAGGACAAACACCCUGCUGUGGAGCCUGGACACCGGUCCUUAUCAAGAAGCAUCACCAUGAGCCACAAUAGACUAUCAAAGUAGCCGAAAAGCCUGCCUGGAUUCAUCAUUCCCACUGCAAGCAGCUCCUGGCUUCCAAAGACGAUCAGCCUGCAGAUAAGUGGACUGUCGUUCCCUCCAAGGACUCUUUAAAGCUUAAAAUUGUCAAAUGUAACUGAUUAUCUUGUGUUCUUCCUUGUAGAGACCCCAAGGAGGCCUCUGUCUGACUUUAAAAAAUUGUUAUAUGAUAAAAUAGAGUAAAUUUAAAUGUUGGUUUUCUUUUGCCUUAUAGUUAACAGCUUUAAUAAUGACAGCUGCAAGAUAUUUGUUAAUCCUCCUAUUGGGCCUUAUAUUGUAAACAAGUUGAUAAACUAUGUCAAAGAUCUUAAAAGCUUAAGAUUUUAAAGAUGCACACAAGGUUAUAAACAGAUGAGUCAAUGAUUUGACUCACUAACUAAAAUCAGUGGGGAAUGUUAUAACCUAUAUAUAAAAAAACCCUCGUAAGUCUCCUCGGAGGCAAGAAAAAGAUCAAAGGUAACUCUAAGAGCAGAACAGGAUGUCUUCCUAAUCUAAACUUGCUUGUUGGCAGGGAAACUUGCUUGUUUGCAGGAUGUGCCUUCCCCUAGAGGAUGUUUGCUGUCUUAGUUACUUUUUACUUGUUGCUGAGACAAAAUACCUGAAGCCCAAGUUGAGAAAGGAAAGGUUAUUUCUUAUAGUUUUUGGAGGUUUCAGUCCACACUCAGUUGGCUCCAAGGCAGGCGGGCAUGGCUGGGCCGCAGUUCAUGGUGGCUGCAAACAGCAAGCAGGAACCAGCAAAGAGCAAGACACACCUUCUUCCUGCCAUUACAUCACAUCCUGGCUCCACCCCUUUGUGGGUGGAGCACUGACACCAUCAAUCCAAGCACUAUACAAUGAACCAUCACAAAUGAACAAUACAAACUCAUGAGGUCUGGGGGCCACAGACAUAAACCAUGACAUUUGCCUAAUCUAAACUUACUUGUUAGCCCAACCCUUACCUGUACCUUGCUCUUCCCAAGAAAUGUUAUUGCCGUGUUCCUGUUCUGUAGUGCGCCACAAACCCACUCCUCCUCCUUGCAUUGUGAGACCAGCAGCUGUUUGCAGUUUUACAGGAUAAAAACCCUGCCCUUUAGCUGUUAGGCGCGUAGUCUUCCAUAUUGACUACCAGAGGCUGCGUGGCCAGGCCUGGCCUAAAAUAAAGCCUUUGCUCCAAAUUUCUUAAUUUCUUGCUUCCUUGGAUUUUAUUCCAGGGUCUGAGCUACCACAGUCUCUAAUCAUAAUUAUGAUGAUUUGCACUUUACAAAUGAGGCAACUGGAGCAUGGACAGGUUAACUAAGUUUUCCAAAGUUAUCCAAUGUAUACAUGGUAGAACUCAGGUUGAGUCUAGAUAAUAUAGCCACACAGGUUAUCCUCUCAUCAAAAUACAUGGCAUUCUACAUUGUCAUGGUUUUUCACAUAGUAUGAUCAUAACAUGAAAAAACGUUUCGCUAAAUCAAUCUCAUCCUAAAACUCAAAUCACAGGGAAUGUGGAUAUCUUACUUGCUUCCUUUAAUUAAUGUUGCCAAUAUUGCUGAUCACUGUUGUGAAAACAACACACACACACAAAUGCCUACAUAAUUAUAUAGCUACAAGAGCUACACAAUAUCAAUGUUCCUAAAAAUAUAUAUUAGUUCUACUUAUCUUGUACCCCUCAUUUUCUACCUCCCUCAGAAACAAAGCUCUGUUCCAUUUAACCUAUGUAUCAGCUUAUACUAAGAAACAACAUAAACAAAACAGGAGUGCAAAGUGACUUGUAAUGUUGCGUGAAAGUUCCCAAGCCAGAGCCAAACCCUGCUGAAGGGCAGACUCUGCGCUGAGGAGAUAAGAAGGCAACAUCUAAUCUUUAUGCCAGCAGACUGUCAUGGGAUAAUUCCACAAAAGCAACAGCCCUGAAUUAGGGAGGAGUUCAGGCUAUAAAGAAUUUAGAAGUGGGAGGUACAGAGCAAGGGACAAAAUGUUACAUGAUUGGAUACAUACAUUGAGUUAUAUUGACAGAAAAGCUAGUCUUGAAACAAUAGAACAGUCUGGAAACACGGGGAGGGGGCCUUACAGAGUAAGCACAUUAAGGGCAUUACCAUAAUAUAGAAAUGUUCCGGAGAGAGGGUCUUUACUGAAUGAGCACAGGUAGGGUGUCCUUGAAUCAGCGCAGGGUGCCUUAAGAUGCAGACAGUUACUCUUAACGUAGUGCUCAUCCGAGGUAUGCAGCUGGGCUAUAGACACUGUCAAGGUCAGCUGAAUUUAGCAGAAACAGCAGAACAGCAACUUGGCCAGAGACCUCUAACUGAUCAUGAAAUAACUAUAAGUCUGCUACUUUACACAAGCAUUUUUACAUUAUAAUUGUGCCCAACACUAAUACCAAGUGUCAUCGAAUACCAGGUAUUCUUGUUCACAGCUAAAUGAUGCUAUCAUCCUGCUUUCCUGCAGACACGCAUAGAAUGCUGAGAGAACUUCUUGUUAAUGAGAUAGCUAUUUCUAAGAGUCAUGAGUUUAUGAAAGAAAAGUAUCGGAUAAUGCUUAUUCAAAAGCUAACAUGAAGAAAGACCAACAAAAGAAGGAAAGCAGUUUAAAAUUGACAAAGACUUUCGUUCUUAAAUCUCAGAAAUAAUCAGACAGUUCAAAAGCUUUUCACUUUGAAUCUUCUGGAGAAGAAAUUGAAAACUGGAAGUUAGUUAGGCAGCAGCACAGUGGAAAGAGGACACAUAGCUCCUAAUUCCUGGUCAUGAUUUACUCCUACUAGACAGAGAAGACUCAAAUUAGGGCAUCCUCAUCAUUCUGUUUCUUGUUCCCAUUUAGAAAUUGCUAUGGUUUUUUUCUUUGUGCUACUUUGCUAGCCUCUUUGAAGCUUCUCUACCACUGGUAAAACAGAAUGACUCUUGAGAACCAGAAUUACAGAGCCCAAAGCCAAGCAGGUUUGGAGGCCAGGCUGCUGCAUAUUUCCAUGACUCUAUCAUCUACCAGCUUAUGAGCAUAAACUUACUACAGUCUUUAGCUUUAGCCUCUUGGGAACAAUGCUGAAUAUGGUAAGACUAGCUGUGUAACAAUUUGGGAAAUAUUGAAGUGUGUAAAUUAAGUGCCUGACACAGUAGGUAAAAACAAGGAGAUUUAUUAUUAGCAGCAUAUAUUUCUCUAAUUUAUCUGUUAACAAUCUUCCUCCUUUUUCAUUCUUCAAAUUACUGCAUAUGUAAGCACUUAACAUGACCACAAAUGCAUACUAAUUUAAGAAUCAUUAAGAAUGUACAGAAAAGUAUAGUAAAUAACAGCGCACCACCAAUACAGUGCUAGCCAGGUGUGGUGGCACAUACCUGUACCUCCAGCACUUAAGAGGCUAAGAAUGAGGGUAGCAAGUUCAAGUCACAGUGAAGCAAAUUAGCAAGACCGUGCCUCAAAAGCUAGAAUAUAAAAGUGCUAAAGAUGUAGCUCAGUGCAAAGGCCUUGAGUUCAGUCUUCAGUGCCCCUAAAUAUAUAUUGCUGUUUUACAUGUUUUUAACUUUAUAUAAAUGGUAACAGAUUGUCUGUAACAUUUUAUAACUUACCUCUCUGAGAUUCUCUUUUUGAGAUUUAUGCAUGUUCAUAUAUAUAACAUUGAUAUUUAAAUAUUUUAUUUGAUUGUAAGAACCUACCAUAAUAUAUUUCUGUAUUCUCCUGCUGAUGGAAA
Molecule: long non-coding RNA, 8861 nt
Organism: Cavia porcellus (domestic guinea pig)
Lineage: Eukaryota; Metazoa; Chordata; Mammalia; Rodentia; Caviidae
Exons: 4
Source: RefSeq, a predicted model, not a curated record